This 447-nucleotide ribosomal RNA is filed under the name uncultured bacterium. RNAcentral's name for it is "partial 16S ribosomal RNA". It matches the Rfam family "Bacterial small subunit ribosomal RNA", at positions 330 to 792 of the family's 1533-position model. The record is from RNAcentral.
GCCAGACUCCUACGGGAGGCAGCAGUGGGGAAUAUUGGGCAAUGGGCGCAAGCCUGACCCAGCAACGCCGCGUGAAGGAAGAAGGCUUUCGGGUUGUAAACUUCUUUUAAGAGGGAAGAGUAGAAGACGGUACCUCUUGAAUAAGCCACGGCUAACUACGUGCCAGCAGCCGCGGUAAUACGUAGGUGGCGAACGUUGUCCGGAAUCACUGGGCGUAAAGGGCGCGUAGGCGGUAAUAUAAGUCAGAUGUGAAAGGUGGGGGCUCAACCCCUAGAGUGCAACUGAUACUGUAUAACUUGAGUGUGAGAGAGGGAAGCGGAAUUCCUAGUGUAGCGGUGAAAUGCGUAGAUAUUAGGAGGAACACCAGUGGCGAAGGCGGCUUUCUGGCUCAUAACUGACGCUGAGGCGCGAAAGCGUGGGGAGCAAACAGGAUUAGAUACCCGAGUA